CCCUUAGAUGUUCUGGGCAGCACGCGCGCUACAAUGGUCUUCGCAAACGGAUGCAUUCUCGAAGGAGAAUGCCAAUCUUGGAAUCUAUGCCUUGGUCGGGACAGUUGCUUGCAAUUUUUCGACUCGAACCAGGAAUUCCUUGUAAUCGUGAUUCAUCACAUCACGAUGAAUACGUCCCUGCCCUUUGUACACACCGCCCGUCGCUCCUACCGAUCGAAGAGUUAGGUGAAUUGUUUUGAUCGAUAAGAUUUGACUAUGGUCAACUCUCGUUGUGAAAUUCUGUGAAUCUGACUGUUUAUAGGAAGGAAAAGUCGUAACA
RNAcentral lists this ribosomal RNA (319 nucleotides) under uncultured eukaryote. RNAcentral describes it as "partial 18S ribosomal RNA". It matches the Rfam family "Eukaryotic small subunit ribosomal RNA", at positions 1470 to 1796 of the family's 1831-position model. The record is from RNAcentral.